RNAcentral lists this ribosomal RNA (627 nucleotides) under uncultured bacterium. RNAcentral's name for it is "bacterial SSU rRNA". It matches the Rfam family "Bacterial small subunit ribosomal RNA", at positions 161 to 767 of the family's 1533-position model. The record is from RNAcentral.
UACUAAUACCGGAUAUUCUUGCUUUAUAUAAGUUUUGCAAGCAAAGGUGGCCUCUGACAUAAGCUACUGCAUAAAGAGGGGUCUGCGUACCAUUAGCUAGUAGGUGGGGUAAUGGCCUACCUAGGCUACGAUGGUUAGCGGGUCUGAGAGGAUGAUCCGCCACACUGGCACUGGAACACGGGCCAGACUCCUACGGGAGGCAGCAGUGAGGAAUAUUGCGCAAUGGGGGCAACCCUGACGCAGCGACGCCGCGUGAGUGAGGAAGGCCUUCGGGUCGUAAAGCUCUGUCAAAGGGAAAGAAAUGUAUAAUGGCUAAUACCUGUUAUAUUUGACGGUACCCUUAAAGGAAGCACCGGCUAACUCCGUGCCAGCAGCCGCGGUAAUACGGAGGGUGCAAGCGUUGUUCGGAAUUACUGGGCGUAAAGGGCGCGUAGGCGGUUUGAUAAGUCAGAUGUGAAAGCCCACGGCUUAACUGUGGAAGUGCAUUUGAUACUGUCAGACUUGAGUACCAGAGGGGAAAGUGGAAUUCCCGGUGUAGAGGUGAAAUUCGUAGAUAUCGGGAGGAAUACCGGUGGCGAAGGCGACUUUCUGGCUGGAUACUGACGCUGAGGCGCGAAAGCGUGGGGA